UGAGAAUAUAGAUCUCCGACCACUGACCAAACUCCAUUCCAAGCAACUACCUAGUUAUGCUUCUCCCCAGGCUCUGACAUUCAGUGCUUGGAGCUGCAGGGAAGAUUUGCGAACCAGCUUUUCAUGCCUGAGCAGCUGUGCGCCUUUGAAGAGUGGAUCUGGGGGGGCCGUUUUUUGUGGCUAUGGAAGAGGAUAACCUUCUGAUCACCAGUAACCAACCAGUUGUUGAAGAGCAGCCCUGCUAGAUAAAAAGAAAAAGAAAACAACUGGCAGCCAUAAGAUGGAAUUCCGCCGCCCCCCUACACUCCAUUUCGAUGCAAGGUCAACUUGAAAAAGGUUGCAUGGAGGCCCGAGUGGUAGAUUUAAAUCUUCUACCUCUUCUAAUUAAUCAUGCAGGUGUAAAUGAGCUACCCAAACAACUUGGAAAAAAGCCCAUGUCACCAAAAGCUGCCGAGCCAUCUUGAAUGAAAGAGCAUGUUAGUAGCAUAGCAUUUUGAACAUUCACCACUUGAUUCUCCCAGAAACCAUCCUUAGCUAAUGCCCCGUUCUGCCAUAAAAUAAUUAAAUUAUAUUACAACCAUAAAGUGCAUAAUUUAAGUCAACCAAGCAUUUCAACAAAUUGGAAUAUGGUGGCAAGCUGAAGCCAUGAACCUUUAUAAAUCAAUCAUCAACUGAUAAACACAGCAAUGAUUAACUCCCAGAACUGGUGUCCCCAAAGUUGGUUUAUUGAAAACAUGCUGAGGGCGGAUGAUAUUGGGUAAGUUAAUUGCGGGAGGGGGCAUAAACCUAGCAUGUGUUUAACGUGAUGUGGGGGGGGGAGAGACAGGUGUAUAUUCCUGCAUUGCAAGUUAUUCUACUUGGAACACUAGCACAACAGGCAGAGGUAAGAGAUUAUUUAAAUACAGUGGACGCUUGGGUUGCGAACGUGAUCCGUGCGGGAGGCACAUUCGCAACCUGCAGCAUGAGCAACCUGCAGUGGUGCAUCUGUGCACGCGCGGGUCACCAUUCGGCGCUUCUGCGCAUGUGCAAAGCGCGAUUUAGUGCUUCCACACAUGCGCGAGCACCGAAACCCAGAAGUAACCUGUUCCGGUACUUCUGGGUUCAGCACAGUGCGGAACAAGAAUGCGCAACCUGAAGCAUCUGUAACCCGAGGUAUGACUGUAUGUAGUCUGAAGCAACUAUACCAUACAAAUAUUCUAAAUGUGAUUGUCUUCCCUUAGGGCAUGCCAGCACAUGACUCAUUCUGAAGAUGAUGUGUUAGAAUGAAAUCCUCACACUCUGUAUCGGUAUGGGAUGCGCAGCUGAUGUAGGCCACAGAAUUUGGUUCCUGAGUCUUAAGAGCAAAGGAUUACCUGAUCUUUCUAGGGAUGUGCCCUGUAUUUUUGGAUUUUACACUAUACCAAAAGCACUAAAGAGCAGGAAGGCAUCAACAAGAGAUAUGUCAUGGAAUCAGGCCAUGGAAAGGGAAUUCAUUUAAAGAGACAGCAACAUAGGGUUUUUCAUUAUUUGAAUGAAGGCUUUGGUUCAAAAUUUGGGGUGCAUGGGUGGAUAACACAUUUGCCCUGAGGACUCACUCAUGAAGCCUCUGGCAGCCUUGCACAAAAGCUGCUGUCAUGGGAAUGUCACUAAACAGAAGAAGUAAGUUUAGAUCUACUCCCAUGUGGUUUGGGUUCUCGUCCCCGUCAGCUGAAACUUUCUAAAAGCUGAGAAUUCAGCCACGUCCAUUAUACAAGCAAUGGUAGCUUAAUAACUUUAGGGGAAAGAGAGGAUGCUUGUUUCAGCAAGCAGUUCCAAGGGGGUUCUGGGAGAUUGAGACAAAAUGGAUGAGUAGCUUCUCCACAGUUCCAGGAACUUCAAACAUCUGGAAGAAUCUGAAGGCCAAACGGGUUAUUGUGAUAUGUUGGCUUCAGAGAAUGUUUGCCCAGAAAUUACCGGACAAUAAAGGAGCAAAGAAAACUUCCUGCUAAUCAGGUUUGAAAACGCAAGAGUGCUAAUCCUCACCAAAAAAAAGCACCAAGCUUGACUCUUCUUUGAGAAGUUUAAACCUGUUAACAUGUUUUCAAAGACAAUGAAUCUGGGUGCUGUUUUCUCCUAUGGGGAGGGGGAUUUGCGAGGGAACCCCUCCAAGUGUUUCCACAUGUAGCAUUAAAAUGCAAAACAUUCCCAUGCACUAAAUAUUUGGGUGCAUGUGUGAAUGUUGCUGAUGUGGGUGGAGAAUGAAUUUUAGAACUGGAGGUACAUUCUAACCAAUCAAGAUUUUACUUUCACAUUUCAGAUUCUGGGAGCUUUUUAGUGACACGCACGGAAGUUAAGAUGUACAACUUAAGGCAACCAUUUGCGCAAUUUGCUUGGUUAAACUCUGGUGACACUUGAAGGAGGGGAAAAACACCCAGUAAUACUUUUUUCCUCCCCAAACAGGCUGAUGGGUCAAAAUUAAAAGUCCUAGUAGGAACCAGUACCUGGUGUUUCCUGAAGGAAAUCAUAGCCAUUCAUGUUCCAGAUGGACCUGGUGGUUCUCCAAAAAAAAAAUAAAGGAGUUAGAGGAGCCUCACACCCAGAGAGGGACUUCUGCCCAGCAAGCAGCAUAGGGGUUGUGAGCAGGGAGCCAUGUUCUGUCUGACUAAGCAAAAGAGAAGCCAGCUGGAGUGUGGGCUGCAGGGCUAAGAUAAUCCCCUUAAUGCCAGUCACAAUGAGAUUUGAUUGGAGGCAGGAGUUCAUGCUGUGGAGUUUAAGGAGUUCUGCUGAGUGCUGGAACAGGUUUCGUAAGGUAGCCCCAAGAGCUGUGCUACUGUGGCCACGUCCCAUGACCAUCCUGUGCUGAACAGACCACUUUCCCCAAGUGGCUGCUGAAUAUGCCCUCGCAUCUGCAUGUGAUUCAACUGGAGUCAAAGGGUUUAAAUGAAAUAAAUGUGUAGCAUGUCUGCAGCACUUUAACUCAGGGAACAUCCACACCAAACUUUUAAAGCAUAGGGUUUCUCCCAAAGAAUCUUGGGAACUGUAGUCUGUUAAGGGUGCUGGAAAUUUACCUAGCUCUGUGAGAGGUAAAUUUCAGUUCCCUGGAUUCUUGUGGGUGGAGGCAUGUGAUUUAAAUGUCUGACUGCGUUGCCUCUGCCACUCUGGGCAGUUCUACACACACACACACACACACACACACACACACACACACACACACACACUCACACACACACACUAAAACAAACAUUGGGGGGGGGGGAACCUUCCCCACACAGGGCGGCAUUCAGAUGUCUUCUAAUGGUUGUACAGUUACUUAUCUCCUUGGCUCGGGGGUCGCAUAUCUCCAUACCCUCCAGCAUUUCUCCAAUUACAACAGGGGCAUCCUAAGGAAAGUGGGACAUUCUGGGAUCAAAUCAGAAACCUGGAUGGCUUCUGUAAAUCUAGGACGGUUCCUGGAAAAUAGGGACACUUGGAGGGUCUGGUACUGCUGUUUGUGUGUUCAAUAGGUGUACAAAGCCACUCACUGUUCUCACAUAAAGGCUUCUCACAUGCUGGCAGAAUGAGCCGCAGGUGGGGAAGCUAGACUGUGCAGCUGAAUUGCACUGAUGCAAAAGGAUGCUCUGUUGUGAAAAUGGCUUAACUGGUGUGUCUUUUAAGGGUUGGGCUGAUUUCAAACCAGCCCUUUAUCCACAUCCCUAAGGUUUCCCAGGGCACACUGUAUAUUACUGUUCCUAGUUUCCCAUUCCAAAUGCUUUUUUGGCAAGGGGAAGAAUUUGACUUGUGUCUCUCGGGCAUCAGCACUUCCAGUUUUUGAUGAUAUACAACAAUACCAAGAGCAGAUAAGCUAGUUCCUUUCUCACUUACUGGAAAGCUUUCGGCUGUCAUGGAGAUGGAGAUAUGCCGCCCAAACCAAACACUUCUUUACAGGUGUACAUGCAGGUGGGGUGUCAUGGAGGUUUUUAAGGAAAGGCUGGAUGGCCAUCAGUCAUGCAUGCUUUAGUUGUUCUUUCUGCAUCACAGGGGAUUGGACUAGAUGACCUUCCAAUGCUACAAUUUGAUGAUUCUAUGAAGACAAAAAGAACCCUCUUUUUGCACAAGCAAGCUGCAGUCUACAGAAAGGGGAAGUGAACCCUGUCGGAGCAUAAUGAUUUGGAAAUGAAUAAAAUGUGGCUUCUGUGGGAUGAAUCGAUAGUCCAGAAGGUGUGAAAAAGGAAUUAUUUGACUGAAAACACUAACAGUGCAAACUUACGCAUACCUAGUCAAAAGUCAAUCCAAUUGAGUUCAGUGGGGAAUGCUCCUUGUAGGUAUAUGGGUCUAUGACAGCAGCCCAACACCACAAUUCUUUAAUGGGCUGCUCCCAGGUAGAUACAGUAUAUGCACAUUCCAUGAAGCCACGUUGCACUAAAUGGGACUCACUUCACAGUAGACAUGCAUAGGAUUUUACCGCAAGGCUGCAAUGCUUUGCACACUUACCCAGGAGUAAGCCCUAUUAAACACACGCAACUCACUCACAAAGAGGUAAAUCCCACUGAACAUAACGUGGCUUCCUUCUGAGUAAACGUGUUUAGAAUUGCAGACAGAAAGCUCUACUGGUGCCAGUAUGAGCUAUGCAAAUACAAUUACAUUAUUACUACAGUGGUACCUCUACUUACGAAUUUAAUGCAUUCCGAACGCACAUUUGUAAGUCGAAAAAAUUUGUAAGUCAAAUUCCAUAGGAAUGCAUUGGGAGAAAAAAUUCGUAAGUCGAAGCAACCCUAUCUAGAAAUUCGUAAGUAGAAAGAAUCCUAUCUAAACCGCAUCCAAGAUGGCGGACGGAGCUCCAUUCGUAAGUAGAAACAUUCGUAAGUAGAGUUAUUCAUAAGUAGAGGUACCACUGUAUUAGAGUUACUAUUUUGCAGUUACCCAUGAGUGCGCUUUAUUGUAUUGUGAUUUUAUGUUUUACUGUUGCAGAAAGAUGGGGUAGAAAUCCAUGGAUAUUAGCAAGCAUGGUCCUUGCCAAAUGUACACAAAUAUUCAUUUAACGUGCCUAUUGGCAGGAAUAUGUUUUAAGUUAAAUGCUACUAAAAAACAGCUGCUAGGCGUCCCCUCUCAGCUUCCUUUUGUUGACUUCUCAUCGCCCCCUAGUGACAAGUCGUUGAAUCCACGUAACUUUCCCUUUUCCAUGAAAGGCGACUUCAAACUGCAGGUACAGUACAGAGCCGUCCCACAGUUGCCUCUUAUGAUAAACUCAGGGAUGUACAAAAUAUGCACAAAGCAUGUCAGAUGUGAAGACGGUCUGCAAGCAUGUGAGACUCAAUAUAGCCCUGAGUCUUUCCUGCUUGUUGAUUACAUUUUUAUGGAGAACAUAGCAGGUUUUUAAAAAGUAAAUCCUUAAUAGCAUGCGUGUUAUAAGUGUGUGGUUUUCUUCCACCGGAUGCCCGUGUACAAAAAGGUGAGCAGGUACAACUGCUCUCAAAUCACACUGGGAAUAAUGUCUUUUCUUACAUAGGUGACUGCUUUUUCCUGUAUAUAUUUUUUUACAGCUUUGAUUUCUCUCUCUCUCUUGGUGUACCGUCUGCUGUUAUGGCUCUCAAAAGCUCAAGAGAAUCAGUGCCGUCACCAACAAGGCCAGCCUCACCUAUGAGGCAGGGUGAGGUAGCCACCUCAUGAGGUGGAAGCUUAAAGGGAAAUGCUCCUGCGGGAGCCCCACCUGCCCUGACAACUUUGCUGCCAGUAGAGAAGUGGAAGAUAUCGCUGGAAUGGUCCAUCAUUGGUGCUGCUCUAUAGGCACCACAGCACAACCCAGGUCUCUUGUUGACAUUGGCUGAGCUAAGUGGUGUGUAUCCACGCCACUCCAGGAAGCCAAAUGUUUGGCUGCCUUGUGCUCUGCCUCUGCUUCUCCAUCCUCCUAAUUCCUUGGAGGUUACCUACUGUGGGACACACCCAAUCCCCAACCUCAGGUUUUCCGGGCGGAAGGUGGGUGAAAGCUCUUCACAACAAUCACCCUUAAAUCCUCAGAAAAUGAUCUUUAUAAACUUUGGGAGCCAGUAUGGAGUCCUGGAGAAUACUGGACUGGAACUGGGGCGACCCAGAAUCAAAUCCACACCCACAAAGCUCCCUGAUUGACAUUAAUCCCAUCACUGUAGCUCAUCAUAAUUUCAUAAAGUUGCUGUGGAAAUUAAAAGGGAGAGGGGUAAGAAUCAUGCAUACUACCUUGACCUCCUUGAAGGAAAGAUCAUUACCAGCUUGUCAUUAUAAGAACUAGUUUGUAACUUAAAAAUUAGUGCCUGGUUUUGCUUAUUUCCUCCUCCUUCCUCCUCCUUUUUCCUUUUGUUUGGUGUCUUUUAGAUUGUAAAACUUGUAAGCAGUAACUAUUUUGUUUUCAUUGAUCUUAUGUUAAGGCCGCUAUUCUGGGUGCUCUGUGGUUGAAGCGUUUCUCUACUCAAGCCUGGAAAUAAAGAAAAGUGUGCAUCUGUGGGGAAAACAUGCAAGAGUCGAUUUUGAAAUACCUAGAGUUUUUUCCUGCACUUUCCCUUAAGAGAUAUUCUAUGUUAGGGGUAGCCUGGCUAGGCAUCAGAGGAUUAGUUUCUCAGGCCCUCACAUUUCAGGACCCAUUUGGGUGUGUUGAAUUUUUCAACUUUCAAAUUCCCCAAAUGACGGGUGCUAAAAAGUUGUAGCAUGACUUGGUAAUUCAAAAGAUAUUUUGGUUAAAUUGAUAUAGUUUAGUUAUAUUAAAAUUUGACUAAAAUUACAUAGAAAUCGUUAAAAAUGAUUGUGAAGUACUGGCAGUUGUAUUAGAUUUUAUUUCUUUAUUUCUUUAGCAGUACCUGACAUUUUCAGAAGGUAAAACUGAAAUUCUUUGUUUUCCGAAAGUAGCUUAUGCGCCUCUUCAUCAAACCUAGACUUACCAAGCUAAAUGCUGUCCAGUUACAAAAAUAAUAUCGGAAUUGAAUUCCUCACACCCCAAACCGUAUUUUUAUGACCAGUUUCAAUCCAUCUGAUAAAAGGGAUCUUCACCUAGAUUACGGUCUGGUAUGAGCUGCAAACACAGGAUGGUGUCUGCAGACAUAGGAAAAUAUGCUGAGAGAAUAUUAUGCAUGUGUUGUAUUUGAAACAAACCCAUCAGCUCCACAAUGUUGGUAGAUGCUUUUCUAGCUCAUGGAUAUAUGACUGAGGCAUAGAUGGGUGUUUAUAUUUUAUCACCACUGAACAUAUUUUCCAUGCACACAAAUAUGGGGAUCGCCAACUCGGUUCUGCAAAAUGCAAUGGGGUUUUUGGCCCGAGGCCCUGAGAACACUUCAUGCCACUCCAGAAAGUAUCCCUAACUGAGUAUAUCUACUGAAAGGUUUCUACCUUUAUGCUGACAGAACAUACAAAGGAGUCUUAGAGCUAUCUCACUAGAUCCCUACAAAAACUUAGAUGCCUCCCAUUCAUGGACUAAACUUGCGUCAACUGAAAUAUCUCUUGGUGUUGUUAUGUUCAGCCAACCACCUUGCAAAGCUUUGUGAGCGAUGGAUCUGGGUCAAGUCCUUCUGUUAAGUAUGAAUUUCAACUCUUUCCUUGGAAACCUCAUUUCCCUCUCACGCAUCAGACAGCACAAAGAAGGAGGGGAGAGCCUCCUUUUCCGGUUUGCACGUUAAAGACUAUUCCCAGGCCAGCCAUUUGAAUCAGGACAUUUCAGCCUGAAAACUUUUGCUCGCACACAUAAUCGAAAAGAGAGAAAGGUUGUAUUCUUUUUUUUUUUUUUAGGAAGGCUAAUUUCUGACUGAAGAUGUCACAAUUACCUGAGAGGAAGCACAUUACGAUGAAACACACCACAUGGUUAAAGCGGUUAGGGCUGGGGGGUGGGGAUAAGGCUCCCCAGAUCGACAAUACUAGUGCCCUCAACAUACACAACGCUGCCCAUAAUCUCUCAGCUUCUCUUAAGGCUCUCUCUCAUCAGCAACAAGGAAAGAAUAUGGUAACCUGUUGUACUCACCAUAUGGCGCCUCCAUCUUAGCACUUAGCUGUGUGAUUACAUUGACCAUUUCUCAUCAGUAUAAUUCUGGAGAAAAUGGAGAAAGUGUAAAAUUACAAGAAAAGCUGGGUGAAGGAGGCGGGAGGAAGGGUGAGCAAACCUGCCUCCUCUGUUAUCUUAUUGAUUCGCUUAAUCAGGCCUAAUGUGGGUGGAGAUGUUAAAUAGUAACCAAGCUCAUAUGGAAACCAACCUGCAAGGUGCUUGUCGGCCACGGUAGCUAUAGUAACUGCUUCCAAGCUUGAAACUCAAACAUGACUUUAUGGGCACACUUUUGGGACUCCCACUGACACCUGGUUUCAGGCCUUGGGUGACCCCAUUGCCGGGCGAUUGCUUUCCUCCUUAUUCCUCCAAGACAAGAGGCUAAAGGGAAGUAGCCCUCCGGAGCCUGGCAAGGCAGAGAACUCUCCUCUGGGGGCUGUGAACUAGGUGAGUUUCACAGCUGCAGAGACGCGGGGCAUUUUAUUGCCCUCGCCAAGCAAACACAGAGAACAAAGGCUUUGUGUCUGUGCGUGCACACGCUUGAGGCCCUGCACGCCAUCAUUGCUGAUGUGCCGUGCGUACAUACCCAGGUGUACAUUUGAUUAUAUGUAAAAGCAUAGAGGGUUGUGUAUUCAUUCAUGCCAGCGUACAUGUACAGUGUAAAUAGAUAGAUCUGGGUGUGUAGUAAAUAAAUGUGUGUGGUUGAGGACGGGCAUUUCUAAGGACUGGGGCUUAUGUGUACAUUCGAUAUAUAUUUAUUUAAAAGUGUAUAGUGACCUUUACUCAGGCUCCCAGAGGAGUUUAUAUCGAAACAGGGUAAUAAAAAAAAUGCAAAUGACACAAAUGUACCCAAUAAUAAUAAUAAUACCCCCCCCCCCAGUAAACCAUAGCAGCAGGGAAAAUAAUUUAAACGCGAGAAUAAAAAUGUCUUUGCGUGGUGCCAAAAGGAUAGCAAUGUUGGUGCCAAGCAAAUAAAACAAAAUUAAAAACUCAUACAAAAGUUAAAUCCCAAAUGAAGGCCAGAUGGUUAGGGCAGUUCCAUGUAUUGCUGUAUGUUCCAUACUUGACAAGUGGUGUUCCUGUUGUUAAAUUAUUCCCACUGGAAGAUUCAAUUUCAGUAUACUGCUUUUAUUUUGGGGGGUGCAUGAAAAAUACGACAUAGAUGACAAUUUGUUCUACAGGGCAAACAAGUUUGGGUUAGGGUGGCCAUUUAGUGUGUCACCAAAAAAGAGGAAAUGCAUCAACACCCCCCCCCCAAUGACAAAGAUUUGCAUAAAAUUUGUAUAUGCUGAUCUAUAAAAUGUGUAUAUAAUAGUGGGGAGUGCCUGGCACUGCCUAGGAAUGACUAGAAACCAUAAAAAUUUGUGAUUUUUUUUUAAUGGAUAGGGUAAUUUAUGAGUUUGAACCCAUCACUCAAAGCAUUGGGCAAAGUCAUGCCAAAGUCAUGUUUCGGUUCACCAUCUUGAUUCAAAAUGGUGCCUGGCAUACAAACAUCAAUGGAGACAGCUGUCCCCACCUCAGGAACCCUUCUGCUGAGUUUGACGAUAAUAUCUCUGGAGGCAGCUGAACCUACGCCAUGUUUCAGUUUGCCAUCUUGAUUCAAAAUGGUACUCGACAUCCAAAUGUCAACAGUGACUGCCACCCACAACUUGGGAACCCUCAUGCCGAGUUUGGCGGUGAUAUCUUGUGAGGUGACAAAAUUUUGGGAGAACGGACAGGUGGACCACAUACCAAAAUAUAUAGUAGAUAAGAAUUUGGAAAUCAUUACUACAAAUCAAAUAUAAGUGCAAUAUAUCUUGCCAUAGUUGGGAAGUCUGAAAUGUAGAAUUAUAGAUUAUGGAAUAAUUAAAUUAAGAUUUGGUUUUUAGAUGGAGAAUAAACUGCUAAAAAUGUAUUAUAAUGAAAUUCAGAAAGAUUGUAACGAGGGAAGUCAUUUGAGAUGUGAAAGAAAAUAAGAGUUAUACAGUGGAACCUCGGUUUAUGACUACCUCCGUUUACGAAAACCUUAGAAUGCUGCGGACCCGGAAGUGUUUAGAAUGCUGCGGACCAGGAGUGAUCUGCGCAGCAUGCGCAUGUGCAGAAGCGCUCUAUCGGCACUUCGCGCACACGCCGAAGCGUGCCGUCGGCGAGCGAAUGCCUCGGCGAGCGAACGCCUCUGCGGAACAGAUUGUGUUUGCAAACUGAGACUUAGGAUAGAAGUCCAGGCAUCUGAUGAAGUGGAUUCCAGUCCAUGAAAACUUAUGCUACAACAAAUCUGUUUGGCUACAGUUUGCCCAGACUACAUAUUUUGCCCUUUGCGGAAAGGAUUCAGGCACAGGCCAGAAAUUUAGGUUUGCACAAUUGAAGUGGAUUAAUUUGCACUGUCACCUUAGUAGAGCAGAUCCAGGGAAAAGCACUGGAAAGUGUGAAGUGGGGAAAAAGAAGAAGACUAUAUGCAACCUGGGAUGAAUGGGAAGACUAUAUGCAACCUGGGAUGAAUUCUCAGUCAGGACCAGACAUAGUCUAACCUCUGCAUAAACUUUGUGCAAGAAAACCAGGAUAAAUGCUCAAUAAAACCCCAAGGAAGCCCUAUAUGGUGCAAAUAUGUUCAUUUUUGUUUUUUAAAAGGUACUUGUGGUUUGUUAGGCCACCACAGGGAAUGACAGAGGCCAUGAGAUGUUAAGAAAGUUGUUCCUGAGUCAUGAAGGGAAGCUGUUUGUCUAAGAAACAGAUCCUCAUCAUAGGGAUUUUAAAACAUUCCAUGUCCCUGUGUGGACCAUUUCUUUUUCUUCUUCCAGCCAUCUAGCUGAGCUGGAACUGACAGCCUUUCCUGUGCUGGAUGGAACAGUGGAAAAAACAGGCAAUGCUUUCAGAAAAGAAGCCAGGGUUUAGACAGUGCAUUUGGAUUGUUUGCAGACAGUGGUGAGUGGCAAUAUAAAGGACCAGGGUUGGCAACGAUGGAGGUAGAAACAUUUCUCUUUAGUAUGAACCAGCAGCCCUAGAACAGGGUUGGGGAACCUGUAACUCAGCUUCAACUCCCAGUCUAGGGACUGUGGGAGUGGUAGUUUAACAGCAUCUGGAGGGUCAAAGGUUCACCACCCCUGCCCUAGAGCAUGGCUGAAGAUGAUCUCUUGGGAAGGUUCCUUGUUCCUGAACCUCUGCUCCAUCCCUCUUGCUGAAAUAUGCACCGUUAUGUGGGUGCAGCAUCACGGUUAAAAACGGACUAUUGUCCCUGGUCCACAUCAAAUCUCGCCCACCAAUUCUCUUGGCCUGCCUUAGGCAAAACAUCUUCCAUUCUCAGCUCACAAACCUUCAGUAUUGGGGGAGGUGGAGAUUGUUGGCCUCAUUUAGGUUUGUUGUAGUGAUUCUUGAAACAAGGGAUGUGAAGCAUCUAAAGAAAGUGGCUAUUAAAAACAAAUACAAUUUGUUACCCAAGCAACAACCACUGUUUGUGGUUUUUUUUACAGGACAAUACUGUACCUGGGUAUAAUGGCUGCAGACAGGACCGCUGCAUUUGGAAGGGCAGCUGGGCUUGCAUUCAUGAGGAUAAGGGAAGGAGUAAUGGCGCUUCUCAUAAUACCAAGAUUUCACAAGGUCCAAAGCUGAACGGUACCUAUAGAGGGCCACACACAAUGCAAAUGUCAAGAAACCUGCCUAUCCAAGCUCAUAUGCCCCAGGCCCAAACUAUGUGAUGCAGGAAGGUGAGGAGAUGCCUCCAACCGUCAAGGCUUCCCACCUCUUCCUGGUAAGCACAGAGUUGAAAAGGAUGCAUGGCUGACCUGCUGGGAGCCUGAAGGGCCCUGCCCUGCUUCUUUCCACCUGGCUUGGAGCGGGGCCUGACAGGCUCAAUAACGAGUGCUGCUGCUGCUGCUGGGCAGAGAGGGCUCUGUUUUUGUUUUCUUAAUUGCUUUUAUUUUUUCUAUAUGUCAUUUUAAAUUGUGAUUGACAUUAAUGCUGUAUUCCUAGUUUUAGAUUUUAUGAUUUAUGUGGAAAUUGUUUUCCAUUGGGUUGUGUACUUUUUGAUGUGUUUUCUUGAUGGUUUAUGACUUUUGUUAUGUUGGUAAUUAUGUAAAUCUUUCAUAUUGUAAGCUUCCUUGAGCAUUGUUUUAACUAUUGAAAAGCGGCCCACAAAUAAAAUGAUGAAGAAUGAAUGAUGAAUGACACAGAAUCAUAGAAGUCAUGUAGAGUUGGAAGGGACCCCAAGGGUCAUCUAGUCCAGGCAUCCCCAAACUUCGGCCCUCCAGAUGUUUUGGACUACAAUUCCCAUCAUCCCUGACCACUGGUCCUGUUAGCUAGGGAUCAUGGGAGUUGUAGGCCAAAACAUCUGGAGGGCCGCAGUUUGGGGAUGCCUGAUUUAGUCUAACCCCCUGCAAUGCACAUGUCAAACACGAUGCCUUCUGAAGAAGUGUGCAUGCACACGAAAGCUUAUACCAAGAACAAACUUAAUUGGUCUCUAAGGUGCUACCAGACCAACACGGCUACCUACCUGAAUCUAGAAUGAUGUAUUUGUGUUAGUGUCUCCCCUCUCAUUGCAAGAGGCAGCCACUGAAGUGGGGGGAAAGGGCAGAGAAAUCUAGGCAUUGAUGUUAUGUGACAUGUAUUUAUCAAAAACACAGGGGGACACACAACACAUUGGUGUGUCCAGUCAUCUCUGGUAACAUAUACCUUGGACCUAAAUGACUUUUUUUUUAACCAUUGCUGUGAUAAAACAGCACUUCAAUAUGCAUAAUCAAUGUUAAGGGAAACUAGUGCAAAAAAGGGGUUCCUCAAACUUGCCUUCCUCCACACACUCCCCAAGCCUCCCUCAAAUCCACUCUGGCACGAGGAGAGGGGAGAUCACUCUGUCAGGCAAGUAGAAAUUAUUGCACAGGUGGAUCAACCUCCUUAGUGUUACACUGAAUUCCACCCGUAAUAUUUUAGUGAGACGGAGGCAACACUGAGGUUGAUAGCAUGCUUGCUUCCUUUGUAGCACACAUGCCCAUUUUUUUUACAUUGUGCACUGUUUAGAAAUCCCUUAAAACGAAUCCCACUUGAUCCAUGAAAAGAAGGGCAGGACAAAAGACUCUCUCAGCAGUUCAGAGGUGUACUUGCGGUGAUGUGUAUUUGCACAAUCAGUGCAACAUCUUUAACGCAACAUCUACAGACCUAGCAUUCCCAGAAGACACUGCUUACCUGCCCGAGUGAAUGGCGAGGUUUUGACCAAUGAAUUUCAUCAGUUGUGGAGGUCCAUGUUCCCAUGCACACUGUCUUGCCCAGGCUUCUGCAGAUCUGGCAAGCCUCUCAUCCCACACCUAGUGGAUAUGAGGCAGGGGGUGGGAGGAAGAAAAAACACACAACAGACAGUGAGUUACUGCUGCUCAAGGUAAAACAAAGUGCUCAGUCAAUCUAUCAAACAUUUAACAAGAUAUAUGCAAUGCAAGCAAGGGAAAUAUAAGCGUCAAUGUUUUUCCUUGGAAGAUAUAGUGUCAUAGACUAGUAGAUUCAGAAAUAGCAAGUCAAACAGGACAGCUUCAUUUCAGACUAGGAAAGUACCUGGCUAAUGGUACUUCACCUUAAAAUCGUCCAUGUCAGUCUGACAAGCCCAACUUUCUGCCUGAUAUACUCACUUUCCAUGCAUAGGUGAUCUUCUCACAUGGAGGAGCAUUCAAACAUGCUUAGCCUCUGUUAGUAUUGUUGUUGUUUUAAUUUAUGCACUUUCAUAGACGUUCAAGGUACAGUAAUUUGCAACCGGACAAUGAAAACGAGUCAAAAUAGGGUUUUAAAGAAUACAAACAAACACCCAAGGCAAACUGUCUGAAGUCGUACAAUGCUAUAUGUGCACGUCAGUUCUUGAGCACUGCUUGAGUUGUCAGGUGGUCUGUUUAAAUCAGCCUGAUGAGGAUAUGGGGAAGGGGGGGGUCACAACUACAAGCUACACCCCCUGGGCAUGCAUGCCUGUGGCAGCAACACCGAGAAAGAGAGGCUAUGCACAGAAAUAUCAUGGACAGCAGGGAUUUAGUAAUCCGGGGUUGCAGGAAAUCGUAGACCCAUUACUUUGGGGGAAGGAGGGUUCCAGCAUGGUCCCCUAUGCAGAGGCAUACCUAGGAGUUGGCAAAACUGUCUCCGGAAAUCUGUCUCCAGCUAUCUGUGUAAAGCAGUGAGCUUAGACAAGUGCAGGGGGAUGAGAGGCAGGAGAAACGGCAAGGUGGUGUAAAGGUAGAUCGCUAGAGACCAUGGAGUUGCGACGUAUAUGUCUGUGAUGACGUGCCACCGCUGUCACAGCAAGAUCAAAUGUGGGAGAAGCUUCCCAUCCUCCUUGUACUGCAGCACAAAGGGGUGCAUUUUCUUCGCCCUUCCUUCUCUCCUUGCCCUCACUCCAGACACUUGGGAUGCAUAAAAGGUAGUAAUUUCUAAUGUGGCUAUUGCUGGUGCAGCUCCUUGCCAAGGCACCCUAGAGACGCCUCUGCCCCUAUAUCAGCACCCUAUGUCCCUUCAUGCACUAAUUAGAUUCAAGCGUGCUAGAGUUACAUGGAGUUUAUUUUUUAAAAUUGCUUUUAUAUAACACCUUUGUCUUCCAAGGAUCCCAAGGUGUUGUACAUGGUUCUCCUCUUUCCCUGGUCAUCCUCGCAACAACCCUGUGAGGUAGGUUAGGCUAUGAGAUGGUGACUGGCCUAAGGUCACCCAGUCAGAUUCAUGGCUGAGUGGGGAUUCGAACCCCGCUCUCCCAGCUCCUAGUCCAACAUUCUAACCGUUACGCCACAUUGGGACCCUGCACUAUGAACCCGGCUCCCAAAAAGUAGUGAUAUGCAAGUAGCUAAAGAAUGAGCCUAAUGCAGCAUUAUCUAAAACACGGAUGAUUUUCCCCUCAGGCAGUAUUGCAAUUUUGUGCUGGAACUGUUGCUAAGGGCAUUGCCAAGGACACUCUGGGCUAUUUGAAGACUCUGCUCUCUGCUGCCUCCUUCCCUUCCCCUCCUUUUUCCAGAGAAGAGCUUGAAAUGGGCUUCAUUGGAAGUUGCUUGAACCUCAAAAAGACAUAACCUCAUCCUACGUUCGCCGCUCAGCAGAACACCAAACAAAACACAAUCAAUAAUCUAGUGUGCCGCUUUAAACAAAUCCCUGUGGAAAAAUUGCUCUGCUUGAGUCCUAGAAAAGCCUUCUAAGAUGGUCCUUAAAGAAGCUGAGAUGACAUUUCCCAGACUACAUACCUUGAAGGCUGAGCCAAGAGCAGCUGAGAAGUGUUAGUUGCCGCUGCAGCAGUAAAUUCAGAGACUGACCUUUGCAAGCAACCUGCGCUCAGGGACAUGUGGCAGAGGGAUUUAACACAACCAAGCCCAAGGAGUCUUUGAUGGCAAUCUGACGCAGAAACCCGCAUCUGAUCUCUUCCCUUCGGGAACGUCCUCAAGUUUGAAAAGGGUCCAGCUGAGCAAUUUAUGGCCUUUCCCCUGUGUACACAUGGCUCCGUCUCUACCAAGUGUCUCUGCUUGUUGUGAACUUCGAGGUAGAGGAAGCUGCAAAGAGUGAGUAAAUGGAUGCCUGUGCCCUGAAAGUUGGGAGCAGUUUUCCUCCAGGGGCAGCAUGCAUUUAAUUGAGGAGAAUUUCUGCGCUUUGGGGAAGGGACCAGGCUCAUUCAGUGACAGAGUCUGUGAGCAAAAGCUCUCGGGUCCAGUCUCCAGCAUCUUCAGGUAGAGCUGGGAGAGGACCCUGCCUGUAACGGCACAGCCAUUCAGUGCGGAGAAUACUGAGCUAAAUGGACCAAUAGUAUGAUUUGGUAUAAGGCAGCUCCCUGUAUCCCUAGGGUUGUUGUCAGACUUAAGGCAGGAGAACGUGCAUAUCUCCAGCAGCGGCAGGUGACACAGGACAGAGUGGCAGCAGUGUCCUCCCCAGUGCCAGACCUUGGUGUCUCAAAUUUCAGAGGCGCCCCCUCCACCUUCCGUUGGACUUACUUCACAGUUGAGGCACCUGUUGCAGCACUCCAGAAGCUCCGCAACUGAACUGACUGCUUUCUGCUAGAUCUGCACUUGGUUGUCCCAGAAGUAGAGGUAUUGCAUUUCCUGGGACCUGGAAAGGUGUCACUGCUGAUCUGCCCCUUCCUUCAAAUGCUGCUGUUGCCAGCAUGCACAUUGCCAGGACUCCUACAGAGAAAUCCUUUUCAUUGCGCUAUGACAAUCUGUGCUCAUGGUGCUUGUGGGGUGGUCAUGUUGGUCCCGCUUUCAGUGCAGUUUCUGCUUGGAAAGAAAGAAAGAAAGAAAGAAAGAAAGA
Zootoca vivipara (common lizard) is the source of this 16147-nucleotide non-coding RNA. The record is from RefSeq and is a predicted model, not a curated record. NCBI's taxonomy places the organism in Eukaryota, Metazoa, Chordata, Lepidosauria, Squamata, Lacertidae.